UCAGAACAAUUGUAGGGAUGUCGUCCGG
Molecule: small RNA, 28 nt
Filed under: Bombyx mori (domestic silkworm)
Lineage: Eukaryota; Metazoa; Arthropoda; Insecta; Lepidoptera; Bombycidae
Description: ovarian small RNA-6948
Source: RNAcentral